RNAcentral lists this ribosomal RNA (1092 nucleotides) under Salmonella enterica. RNAcentral's name for it is "partial 23S ribosomal RNA". It matches the Rfam family "Bacterial large subunit ribosomal RNA", at positions 57 to 1190 of the family's 2925-position model. Lineage: Bacteria; Pseudomonadati; Pseudomonadota; Gammaproteobacteria; Enterobacterales; Enterobacteriaceae. The record is from RNAcentral.
CGUGCUAAUCUGCGAUAAGCGCCGGUAAGGUGAUAUGAACCGUUAUAACCGGCGAUACCCGAAUGGGGAAACCCAGUGUGACUCGUCACACUAUCAUUAACUGAAUCCAUAGGUUAAUGAGGCGAACCGGGGGAACUGAAACAUCUAAGUACCCCGAGGAAAAGAAAUCAACCGAGAUUCCCCCAGUAGCGGCGAGCGAACGGGGAGGAGCCCAGAGCCUGAAUCAGCAUGUGUGUUAGUGGAAGCGUCUGGAAAGGCGCGCGAUACAGGGUGACAGCCCCGUACACAAAAGCGCAUGUGCUGUGAGCUCGAUGAGUAGGGCGGGACACGUGGUAUCCUGUCUGAAUAUGGGGGGACCAUCCUCCAAGGCUAAAUACUCCUGACUGACCGAUAGUGAACCAGUACCGUGAGGGAAAGGCGAAAAGAACCCCGGCGAGGGGAGUGAAAAAGAACCUGAAACCGUGUACGUACAAGCAGUGGGAGCACCCUUUGGGGUGUGACUGCGUACCUUUUGUAUAAUGGGUCAGCGACUUAUAUUCUGUAGCAAGGUUAACCGAAUAGGGGAGCCGGAGGGAAACCGAGUCUUAAUUGGGCGUUAAGUUGCAGGGUAUAGACCCGAAACCCGGUGAUCUAGCCAUGGGCAGGUUGAAGGUUGGGUAACACUAACUGGAGGACCGAACCGACUAAUGUUGAAAAAUUAGCGGAUGACCUGUGGCUGGGGGUGAAAGGCCAAUCAAACCGGGAGAUAGCUGGUUCUCCCCGAAAGCUAUUUAGGUAGCGCCUCGUGAAUUCAUCUCCGGGGGUAGAGCACUGUUUCGGCUAGGGGGCCAUCCCGGCUUACCAACCCGAUGCAAACUGCGAAUACCGGAGAAUGUUAUCACGGGAGACACACGGCGGGUGCUAACGUCCGUCGUGAAGAGGGAAACAACCCAGACCGCCAGCUAAGGUCCCAAAGUCAUGGUUAAGUGGGAAACGAUGUGGGAAGGCCCAGACAGCCAGGAUGUUGGCUUAGAAGCAGCCAUCAUUUAAAGAAAGCGUAAUAGCUCACUGGUCGAGUCGGCCUGCGCGGAAGAUGUAACGGGGCUAAACCAU